This 270-nucleotide ribosomal RNA is filed under the name uncultured Dialister sp. RNAcentral describes it as "partial 16S ribosomal RNA". It matches the Rfam family "Bacterial small subunit ribosomal RNA", at positions 100 to 354 of the family's 1533-position model. Lineage: Bacteria; Bacillati; Bacillota; Negativicutes; Veillonellales; Veillonellaceae. The record is from RNAcentral.
CGGGUAGAGUAACACGUAAACAACCUGCCUUCAAGAUGGGGACAACAGACGGAAACGACUGCUAAUACCGAAUACGAUCCGAAAGUCGCAUGACAUUUGGAUGAAAGGGUGGCCUAUCGAAGAAGCUAUCGCUUGAAGAGGGGUUUGCGUCCGAUUAGGUAGUUGGUGAGGUAACGGCCCACCAAGCCGACGACCGGUAGCCGGUCUGAGAGGAUGAACGGCCACACUGGAACUGAGACACGGUCCAGACUCCUACGGGAGGCAGCAGGC